CAAAAUGUAGCUUAACUAAAGCCUCUCGCUUACACCGAGACUACGUCUGUAUGACCCAGAUCAUUUUGA
Molecule: transfer RNA, 69 nt
Filed under: Nyctibatrachus sp. KR-2003
Lineage: Eukaryota; Metazoa; Chordata; Amphibia; Anura; Nyctibatrachidae
Description: tRNA-Val
Source: RNAcentral